UAAAAAGGUUACAAGGGCACUAAUAGUGGAUGCCUUGACAAUCAAUACCGAUGAAGGACGUAGAACUCUGCGAUAAGCCUCGGGGAUCUGAGAGCGAGAUUUGAUCCGGGGAUGUCCGAAUGGGGAAACCUAAUACAAGUCAUGUUGUAUUGCACUUAUCUGAACACAUAGGGUAAGGAGACGGGAACCAGCCGAACUGAAUCAUCUUAGUAGGUUGAGGAAAAGAAAAUAACCAAUGAUUCCGAAAGUAGUGGCGAGCGAAAUUGGAAUAGUCUA
This 276-nucleotide ribosomal RNA is filed under the name Candidatus Saccharimonadota bacterium. Its description in RNAcentral is "partial 23S ribosomal RNA". It matches the Rfam family "Bacterial large subunit ribosomal RNA", at positions 1 to 271 of the family's 2925-position model. Lineage: Bacteria; Candidatus Saccharimonadota. The record is from RNAcentral.